This is a long non-coding RNA of Cyprinus carpio (common carp), 1719 nucleotides long. The record is from Ensembl. NCBI's taxonomy places the organism in Eukaryota, Metazoa, Chordata, Actinopteri, Cypriniformes, Cyprinidae.
AUGUAUCCUAAAGGUUGUAAUGUGUACUUUUAUGGUACUAUAAUGAACCCGUAAAGAAGGUACAAAGGUGUCCCUUUGAGGGUACUGCCCCAGUGACGAGCUGUUGUUCCCCCCAAAGGUACAGUUUGGUACUAUAAUUAACCCUUUAGGAGUAAAUAAGGUACAUAUUUUUGUAGGCAGUAUACAGUGUAUAGUGUGCAUUAUUCAGAUUGUAGUAAACUGCAAUCUGUAGUGCCAUCUAGUGGCUGUUCACAAAAUAAUAAUUUUCUACUAAACGUUUGAAAACAAAAUGUGUUUGUCAGUUAAGAGGAAAGGCGGCCAUGUGUUCAAGAGAGCACAUGUGGGUUAGUGAGUGAGUGUGCGUGUGUGAGAGCUGGCUUUGAUAUCAACAGAGAUCACAAACCUGCACACACUGACCCCAAUCCUCAUAAGGAUCUUGCUGUCAAUCUCUGAGACAGCUGUCAGUCUAAUGCAAUCUCUCUCUCUCUCUCUCUCUCUCUCUCUCUCUCUCUAUGCAGAGUCAUGGUCUCAUGCAGGACAGAGGAAAAAGUAAACACGCUGCCUAAUGAUUCGACAAAAACACACUUAGGAAAUGAUGGCAUCAGUUAUGCAGGAGAGUUUGACCUGCCAGGGGAAAAAUGCAAUGAUCCAUGUAAGUGGCUGUGACAUUCAGCUGGUGUCUAAAAAGGGCCGUCUCUCACGCACACCUGCCCUCCAUCUGUUAUCAACACAUGCUGAGGAUUCUGUUUGCUUGACACUCUCAUCUUCCUCGCUCUCCGCUUCCUCCACCAUACAGGAUCAGGGUCGAUCUCCUGCUCAGCCCUCUGAGCAAGAAUCUGAGAAUCUCCCCCCGAGACGCCCUCUGAAACUCACUCCGCUAGAGCUCCCGCUAGAGGUGCAGCGGCAGAAGCUCAAAAGUGCUCAGGAGGCAAAAGUGGCAAUCUGUAAGUCAGACAGGACAUAUCCCAGAAAAGCAAAAGUUUGUUGGCAGGACGGCCCAGACAAAUCGCCAGGACGCUACCCGCUGAGUACCAUCACAGAGCCACACAAACCACAGCUACCUGUAAAUCAAUUCAAGCUUGCUUCUGAUAGGCUAGCGGGAAAGAAGGCGGAGCAAAUGGAAGGUAAUCCGACAGUCCACUUAACAUGUGCUCACGAAAAUGUCUGCCAAUCAAAGCAUGGCAACAGCCAAUCAGCAGCUCCCGCUAAGAACCAGGAUGCAGUCAAGAGGCGCCUAAGACUGCGAAGAACCCAGCGGCUAGAGGAGGAUCAAAGCAAAUCCAGCUCAUCAGCAGGUGGAUUAUCUGUUGAUGAGAGCAAACUGGCAUCAGCUGGGCCUGGCAAGGGUCAGCGUGCUGCUGAGAAGGCCCUUCAAGACGCCGGCCAUGUGCUGGAAAAGGCAUCGUAGAGGAACCCAGGAGAACCCGGGACAGUGGUUAAAGUGGGGAUAAGGAUGGCUGUUAAUGACAUUCCAGAAGCCGUACUCUGACUCUUUGACACAAAGAGGAAGUGCAGCACAUGGUGUUGGGGUUAGAGACUUGAACAUGGCAACAGAGUCAUUUUUCCGGAGGAUUUUCCCUCUUGGGUUUAGAUGGGAAAACAGCUGAGAUGAAGCCUCCAGUAAUGUAGAAAAUGGCACAACAUUACUGAUCUAAAUAUGGGUAUAUAAGUGAUUAUAUUUUGAUUAUCUCAAAAUAAAUUCAGAUCAGGAUCUUUACA